AAAGAGUUAAUUUAUUAAUAUAUUAGUAUGUCAUACUAAAAUUAUUAGAAAAAUUAGUCUAAUAUUCUUUU
RNAcentral lists this transfer RNA (71 nucleotides) under Colochela zhongi. RNAcentral describes it as "tRNA-Asp". The record is from RNAcentral. Lineage: Eukaryota; Metazoa; Arthropoda; Insecta; Hymenoptera; Tenthredinidae.